ACGCUGGCGGCAGGCUUAACACAUGCAAGUCGAACGGUAACAGGAAUUAGCUUGCUAAUUUGCUGACGAGUGGCGGACGGGUGAGUAAUGCUUGGGAAUCUGGCUUAUGGAGGGGGAUAACUACGGGAAACUGUAGCUAAUACCGCGUAAAAUCUUCGGAUUAAAGGGUGGGACUUUCGAGCCACCUGCCAUAAGAUGAGCCCAAGUGGGAUUAGGUAGUUGGUUAGGUAUAGGCUGACCAAGCCGACGAUCUCUAGCUGGUCUGAGAGGAUGACCAGCCACACUGGAACUGAGACACGGUCCAGACUCCUACGGGAGGCAGCAGUGGGGAAUAUUGCACAAUGGGGGGAACCCUGAUGCAGCCAUGCCGCGUGAAUGAAGAAGGCCUUCGGGUUGUAAAGUUCUUUCGGUGACGAGGAAGGUUGAUAGGUUAAUAGCCUAUCAAAUUGACGUUAAUCACAGAAGAAGCACCGGCUAACUCCGUGCCAGCAGCCGCGGUAAUACGGGGGGUGCGAGCGUUAAUCGGAAUAACUGGGCGUAAAGGGCACGCAGGCGGUGACUUAAGUGAGAUGUGAAAGCCCCGAGCUUAACUUGGGAAUUGCAUUUCAUACUGGGUCGCUAGAGUACUUUAGGGAGGGGUAGAAUUCCACGUGUAGCGGUGAAAUGCGUAGAGAUGUGGAGGAAUACCGAAGGCGAAGGCAGCCCCUUGGGAAUGUACUGACGCUCAUGUGCGAAAGCGUGGGGAGCAAACAGGAUUAGAUACCCUGGUAGUCCACGCUGUAAACGAUGUCGAUUUGGGGAUUGGGCUUUGAGCUUGGUGCCCGUAGCUAACGUGAUAAAUCGACCGCCUGGGGAGUACGGCCGCAAGGUUAAAACUCAAAUGAAUUGACGGGGGCCCGCACAAGCGGUG
RNAcentral lists this ribosomal RNA (910 nucleotides) under uncultured bacterium. RNAcentral's name for it is "bacterial SSU rRNA". It matches the Rfam family "Bacterial small subunit ribosomal RNA", at positions 33 to 934 of the family's 1533-position model. The record is from RNAcentral.